Long non-coding RNA from Nicotiana tabacum (common tobacco), 478 nucleotides. RefSeq lists it as uncharacterized. The record is from RefSeq and is a predicted model, not a curated record. NCBI's taxonomy places the organism in Eukaryota, Viridiplantae, Streptophyta, Magnoliopsida, Solanales, Solanaceae.
CCCAACCAACCAUUAUGCAGUGCUCAUUUUCUUCCUUUCUAUAUCAGUAUCCAUUUAGCAUAUUUUAUAUGGCUGAAAUUAUAUUACCUUAAUAAUAUGCAUAUUCAAUAAUACAAAGCAGAUAAACUUUAUAAAUUUGCGAUCUUCCUAGCAAUUGUUCUGAGAAUUUGAAGGGUUUAAUAGAUGGCUUUCUAUGGAUACAAUGGUGAUGAUGAUAAAGGCCCUGAAGUUGGAAGAAUCUUUCAUAAAAAUAGUUCCGAGCAAUUUGAAGCAGCUAGAAUUGUUGAAGACCAAGGGAAAUCUAUUUUGUUUUAUUAGGAGUUGUGGUCGUCAUCUGUACAAAUUACUAUUUUACUUUCUCUUUAAUUUUUUGUUUUCUUUAAGGAAUUGAAAAAAAAGGAUCGUGCAAUUUGGAUGUAAUAUAUAUUAUUGCUACUUUGAUUAGUUCUCUAUAAUUAAAAAAGAUAUUUUAUGUCAA